Molecule: long non-coding RNA, 1541 nt
Organism: Panicum virgatum (switchgrass)
Lineage: Eukaryota; Viridiplantae; Streptophyta; Magnoliopsida; Poales; Poaceae
Exons: 2
Source: RefSeq, a predicted model, not a curated record
CCUCGCAAGGCCGCCGUCGUGCCCUCCGCCGGCCGCUCCGCCCGCCGGCGUGCACCCCUCGCCUCCCUCGAUCUCUGCCCCGCCGCUCAGGGUUUCGACUGGCCACGACGUCCCGGCACCUCGCGAACCCGCCGUCGCGCCCUCCGCCUGCCGCUCCCGGCUCACCAAACGGCCCGCUGGCUCCCUCUGCUCCUCUUCCGCGCGGCGCACCCCAGCUCGCAGAGGCUGUCACGGGGGCCUGCGCGGGCAGCCAGACGAUGGCCCCAGGCCCGCGCGCGGCUAGGCUGAGUCCACGGCGCGGCGGCUCCCGCGAACCGGCGGAGCCCUCCGCCUGCCGCUCUGCCCGCCGUCCUCCGCCCUUCGCCUCCCUCCUCGAGCUCCAACCCGCCGCUCAGGCGUUCAGCUGGCCGCGACGUUCCGGCACCUCGCUAGCCCACCAUCGCGCCCUCGAUUCUGAACAAACGGCCGGACAAAAGCUAGCGAUUUCCUGAAGCUUCCUGAACGCACGCCGUACUACACGAGCAGGGUAACUCGAGACUUUUUCCCUUCUGCAGCAAUAGAAAUUCUUCCUCCCGCAGCGCUCGCAGCUUCCUAUCGUUGCACAUGCAGACAAGCAAAAAUAGUCUCCCUUCCCAUUGGGAAACCUGGAUCCAAUCCAAUCUGCCAGGUCAACAAAAAAAAAAUCCUUGAGCGCACACCUCGAUCUGAUCCGCAGGUACAAAGGCGCCAACAUACAAGAAGCAACAGCAAGAUACUUGCAGAUUAGAGUCAAAAUACUGGUUAAUUUGAUGAGGUAUGCUUCUGUUUCUCCAAAUGAUAAGGUGCUUUGUGCUUCUGGCAUGUUCGUAAGAUCUGUCCUAUAUUUCUUUUUAAGAUUGCACAGCACAAGUCGGAUUAUUUAUUAGAGAGGACCUCCUGUCUUUCAUCCUUGAUAAUUCACAGCAAGCAGUAUUAUAGAUUAUGACUUGCCUUCAUCAUUUAUUCAUUUUGAUCUAAUCAAUUGAUUUUUGGAUCAUCAUUGGGUUGAGAGCUCCAUUGUGUUGCCUGUGUCUGGUCAUUUAGGCUUCAGUGCCACUGGGUAGAAUAAUAAUACUAACACAUUUAGCCUUUUGAUGUUUCUUUGCUGUAUGUAGUCCAUCUGAACGUAUAAACCAUGAGAUUGAUAAGUGUAGCUAUUUGAUGAUGAUGGAUGAUGCUGUAUCUGCUUAUACUAUGAAUACGUCAGCUCUGUUCAUGCCUCCAUCGGAUUCGCGGGAAUUAGACAAAUUUAGAAGUUUUUUUUUAAUUUUUUGCAAUCUGUUCAAUGUUUGUAGGAGAAUAUGCUUGGGGAAGAUAAAUUUCAUAUAACUACAGAAAAAUGUAUGUUGCAUUUUUUGGAUUCAGUCCAAUGCUUAUAAGAUCAAAGGAUAUGCAUGGGACAUAACUUCAGAUAGCUCAUUUUGUGGGCAAUUAGUUCAAUGCCUGUAAGAGCAUAUGCUUGGGGCAUAAUUUGAUAUAGCUACCGAAAAAUCCAUGCUACUGUUUUUGGAUUCAGUUCUGAA